Molecule: transfer RNA, 75 nt
Filed under: Methanococcus maripaludis
Lineage: Archaea; Methanobacteriati; Methanobacteriota; Methanococci; Methanococcales; Methanococcaceae
Description: tRNA-Gly
Rfam family: tRNA
About the family: Transfer RNA (tRNA) molecules are approximately 80 nucleotides in length. Their secondary structure includes four short double-helical elements and three loops (D, anti-codon, and T loops).
Source: RNAcentral
GCGCCAGUGGUGUAGCCUGGUAUCACUUUGGCCUUCCAAGCCAGUAACUCGGGUUCAAAUCCCGACUGGCGCACC